RNAcentral lists this ribosomal RNA (395 nucleotides) under uncultured bacterium. RNAcentral describes it as "bacterial SSU rRNA". It matches the Rfam family "Bacterial small subunit ribosomal RNA", at positions 521 to 918 of the family's 1533-position model. The record is from RNAcentral.
UAAUACGGAGGAUCCGAGCGUUAUCCGGAUUUAUUGGGUUUAAAGGGUGCGUAGGCGGCACUUUAAGUCAGGGGUGAAAGACGGCAGCUCAACUGUCGCAGUGCCCUUGAUACUGAAGUGCUUGAAUGCGGUUGAAGACGGCGGAAUGAGACAAGUAGCGGUGAAAUGCAUAGAUAUGUCUCAGAACACCGAUUGCGAAGGCAGCUGUCUAAGCCGUUAUUGACGCUGAUGCACGAAAGCGUGGGGAUCGAACAGGAUUAGAUACCCUGGUAGUCCACGCCCUAAACGAUGAUGACUCGAUGUUUGCGAUAUACCGUAAGCGUCCAAGCGAAAGCGUUAAGUCAUCCACCUGGGGAGUACGCCCGCAAGGGUGAAACUCAAAUGAAUUGACGGGG